This 380-nucleotide unclassified non-coding RNA is filed under the name fungal sp. RNAcentral describes it as "partial internal transcribed spacer region". The stretch from base 1 to 46 matches the Rfam family "Eukaryotic small subunit ribosomal RNA", at positions 1786 to 1831 of the family's 1831-position model. Lineage: Eukaryota; Fungi. The record is from RNAcentral.
AAGUCGUAACAAGGUUUCCGUAGGUGAACCUGCGGAAGGAUCAUUAACACGUGAUACUCACGUAUUACACCAAACGCGAAUUUGUUAUUUGUCCUAGUGUUAGUAGAAGCGAGUGUGAGUGAAUGGUGUGAACACUUCGGUGUUCUCUCUUAUACUCUACAGUUCUCUGAGACUGAAGUUUCUGCUAUCACUGGUUGAUGACUAUUUUAGCUGUCUACCUGCACCUUGGUGGCAGCUAAGAUGACUCUUAUUAACCCCAUCUAUUUUUCUACUGAUUUGUAUGUUCACUUGAAUUCCUAGCUCUCACGAGCUGGUUGAGUUCGAAUGAAUGUCGUUUAUCUAACACGAAACAACUCUUAGCAACGGAUAUCUUGGUUCUC